UCAUUUAGAGGAAGUAAAAGUCGUAACAAGGUUUCCGUAGGUGAACCUGCGGAAGGAUCAUUACCGAAUUGUCAACAUGAAGUUGUUGCUGGCCCUCAAAUGGGGGUAUGUGCACGCUCUGUUUACACAUCCACUCACACCUGUGCACCCUCUGUAGUUCUAUGGUCUGGGGGCUCUGUCCUCCUGCUGUGGUUCUGCGUAUUUAUACAUACACACUGUAAUAAAGUCUCAUGGAAUGUAAUGCCGCGUUUAACGCAAUGUAAUACAACUUUCAGCAACGGAUCUCUUGGCUCUCGCAUCGAUGAAAGAACGCAGCGAAAUGCGAUAAGUAAAUGUGAAAUUGCAGAAAUUCAGUGAAUUCAUGAAUUCUUUGAACGCCCUUUGGCUAUUCCGAAGGGCAUGCCUGUUUGAGUAUCAUGAACACCUCAACUCUCAUGGCUUGCCAUGAUGAGCUUGGGACUUGGGGGUCUUGCUGGCCUGUGGUCAGCUCCUCUCAAAUGAAUCAGCUUGCCAGUGAUUGGUGGCACCACAGGUGUGAUAAACAUCUACGCUUGUGGUUCCCCACCAUGUAACCUUUAGCGAUAGAGGUUCGCUGGAGCUCACAAAUGUCUUUCCUCAGUGAAGACAGCUCUUUGAUUGUUUGAUCUCAAAUCAGGUAGGACUACCCGCUGAACUUAAGCAUAUCAAUA
Molecule: ribosomal RNA, 689 nt
Filed under: uncultured Tomentella
Lineage: Eukaryota; Fungi; Basidiomycota; Agaricomycetes; Thelephorales; Thelephoraceae
Description: eukaryotic LSU rRNA
Rfam family: 5.8S ribosomal RNA (bases 267-417)
Source: RNAcentral